This is a long non-coding RNA of Cornus florida, 6841 nucleotides long. RefSeq lists it as uncharacterized. The transcript is spliced from 3 exons. The record is from RefSeq and is a predicted model, not a curated record. Lineage: Eukaryota; Viridiplantae; Streptophyta; Magnoliopsida; Cornales; Cornaceae.
ACCGAGAACCGUUGCAUGCAGCAAAGGGUUAAAACACCCGCCAUUUUAAUUUCGUCUAUAAAUACAUACGGUCACAAUGUCACAUUACAAUAAAAAAUCAGGAUUCAAGAAAAUGGCGUUGUUUCUUGCAAUCCAUCGUUUCUUCGUAACACUCCUACUGUUCGUUCCCCCAAACCCUUCGCAGUCUUCACAAUCUCCUUCUGCUUCAAACCCUACAACGCCGGUAGCAGUUGAUACUGCUCAGCACCACCAACAAGCCAUCGACGUUCCAGAUCUUGAAAAGUCUGUAGUAGAAGAGAAUCAACAAAUUCAACACCACCAAAAACUCGAACCAGAUCCUAAUCCCGUUGCUCCACAUAAUAAUGGUAAUAAUGACAACAAUGUUGCUGAGUUUCCAGCGAAAGUAAUCGGAUUUUGCUUUGCGUUGGCAGUUGCAGUUGCAGUUAACUGGCUCCAAAGUCCCGCCCCAAUCCCUUUGAGCUUCUACUUCCUCUCUCUCACCAUCGUCGUUGCAGUCACUCUGCUCUUUGUCUCAAACUACAUGAUUCCCAAAUCCCCAAAUCUAGACCUAGCCCAGGUGGUAGAGCGUGUGGGUGUCUUCUUUGGGGUCGCGGCCUUAAUUUUCGCCAUCACCAUACCUUCCCCACUCUACCUUAAACUAAUUCACUGGGCCAUCUUUCUUCUUCCUCUGCUUGCAAUUUUCGUCUUUAACCGCCGUUAACCAUGUUCUGAUAAGGCGUAUACCCAGUUUAUCUAUGUCUCAGCUUUUUGUAAACCAUUUGUACACUAUGGGUACUUCCAUAGUCGGGCGUCUACUGAAAUGGCAAAAAGGCAGCAAGGUAGUUCCCUCCGUACCACCGGAGGAGAAGCUAGCUGGAGAGGACCAGAUGAAAUGGAUGUAACCAGAGAAGCUAAAACUAGACCUUUAAUUUGAGAAUUUUAAGGAUCCCUAUACAGGGGCAUUGCCUUUGAGGUUGAUGAGAAAGCUACAUUUAAAAGUGCACACCUUGUGAAGUUGGUAAGCAAGUCAUCACUUUGCAUUCCUCUAUUUAUAUUAAAAUUACAAGAAUAUACUAUAAUAUGCUUAAAUCUUCGUAGCAGACAUGUCACUAAACCCUUUGUUGUUCGACUUCAUUUUUUUUUUUUUUUUUUUUCCCUUUGUUGGCACUCACACACACAUGCCUCUACUAAGGCUCGAACCUUGACCUUCCUUUGAGAAGUAGGGGUCUGGUACCGCUAGAUCACUGGCGUGUUGGUAAUGUUCGACUUCAUAUUGGAGUAUCAAACAUAGAUAAAAGGUUAAAUACUUGUGUAAUCAAGAUUUUCAUUGCUUAUGAAAGCAAUAUGAAAUAUCCUCUUUGCCUUGUACUAUCUGCUUUAGCUGGUGUUCUUUCUUUAUUAGUGCAUGUUAUUACAUAUGUUGUAUAUGAACUUACUGUUUAAAACUUCUCUCUCUUCCUUUUUCAUUAAAAGAUGUCACACCUAAUCUUCUGCUAACAUUUGAGUACUAACCUUAUAUCUUCAAGUUACUGCUAUCAUCCAUCGAAACAUUCUCAUUUCAUCAACAUAAAUAAGUUGUUCUCACUUCUCUUUUAAGGCCUAGCUUUCUUCUCAGUAUAAGAUAUCUGGUCUAACUUUUCUUGUAGAAUCUCGCAAAAAACUACUUGAUAUUUUCUUAUCAGAUAAGAUGAGACCAGUUUGUCUCACCUUUGUCCAACCUGUUGCAAUCCUACUUAUAGCAUCACCAUUACCCAUUUUGUAUUAUUAAUCCACCAAAAAUAAUUUGUUUGAAUAUUCCUCUGUUCUUGAAUUCUUAUCAUAUACUAUGUUUGGUGAUUGUUUUAUUUAAUAUUAGUGUUACUUGUACCACUUGUCUGAUCAUUGUGAUUUAAUAAAACCACUUCUGAACUUUAAAAAAUCCUAUGGUACUAAAUUUGGUAUUUUUUAUGAGUGUUUAUCUAUAAAGAAUUUAUUCAUUUUGCAACAUUGUUGAUGUCCUUGGCUAGAUAUAAGAUUUGGCCGAGUAAGUUGCUAUGUAAAGCAUCUCAGAUUAGAAAAAAACUAACUAAAAAUAAAUAAAAAAUUGGAAGAAAAAAGUGCAUUAGUCCGUUCUGAUCAUGGCAUGUUCCUAGGGAGGGAGGACCCGAAAAGCAUAAUUCAGUUUACUAGGGAUCUUAUUUGCAUAGCUCCAUGCAUGCAAUAGUUGAAGACAUUAUUUAAAUGAAUUAAGAAAGCACUUUUCAUUUCGUUUUUGGAUGCUUGAUUAGCUGCGCGAAAAACCUCUUCUUUUUUCCGGUUCUGCCUUCAACAACUAGUCUUCCCUUGCUCAUGCUCUUAUAGUAUGUUUUUGUACGUGUUUAUUAAUGCAAUGUACAUUUCUUUGAAAAUUUUGACGUGGAAUCUAAAAUUGUGCUUCAUGUGUGAUUUAUUUAUUUAUUUUAUGUUGUAAUCUUGUUCAUUUCCAUGAAUGACAAUGUGACUUGUUGAUUUAAUGAAAAUCAUUAAUAAAUCAAAUGGUAUCUCUCAAAUGUGAAACUUAUAUUGACUAUGCUUAUGUUCUUGUAAUUUUGUGCUUGAAGGAAAUGGGGGUAACCAGAGAAGCAAAAACUAUACCUUUAAUUAGAUAAUUUUAAGGAUUCCUAUUGUUUCUUGACAAUAUCUGCUAUUUUUUGCACCAUAUGUCGGGUUUUUUUAUUUUAUUUUUUAUUUUUUAUUUUUUUUUGUUUUUUGUUUUUUUUUUGUAUUGCGUUUAAUGACUUUGAUAAAUAAAUUCGCUUUAUCAUUCGCUACUUUCCUCACCAUCAUCCUUGUCUUGAUUUCACCAAAAUGGGGUUGACCACAUGAACUCUUAUAUUUCCGUUACAAUAUUUAGUUUCUUACAUUGUCUUUUAUAACUUUGUACCAAGUUAAUUUUGGUCUUCCUCUUUGUCUUGUACCAUCUAUUUUAGCUAGUGUUCUUUUUCUUACUUGUGCAUGUUAUUACCUAUGUUGUAUAUGACUGCGAUUUAAACCUUUUUUCUCUUCUUUUUUCAUUAAUAGAUGUCAGACCUGAUCUUUUGCUAACAUAUGGGCCAUAUGUCCUAUGUUUGUAUUUUACAGCUUAUGCUGAGUUGGGCCAAUUUCAUAUUGUCCCAGUUUUUCUGGCUAUUUAGCCUUCCUCCAUACAGGUUACUUUCAUUAAUAAAUUGCUUGAAUUUCCGAAAAAAAAAAAAUGCCCAGCAUUCUUCUCAGUAUGAGAUAACUGGUCUAAUAUUUUCUUGUAAAAUCUCGCUUUUAACUUGAUAUUUUCCUAUCAGAUAAGAUAAGACUUGCUUGUCUCCCCUUUGCCCAACUUGUUGCAAUCCUACUUAUUGCAUCAUCAUUUCCCAUUUUGUAUUAUUUAAUCCUAAACACUGAAAAUAUUUAGUUUGGAUACUCAUCUGAUCUCGAAUUGUUAUCAUUACAUAUCAUAAAUUUCUUCAUUCUUAAAUUUAUAAUGCACUACUUUAUGGUUUCAAUUUGUCCUUACAAAAGUUACACACACUGGAUCACAUUAUUCUGUUUGGUGAUUGUAUUAUUUAAUAAUGUGUUACUUGCACCACUUAUCUGAGUAAUUUGAUUUAAUAAACCAUCACUUAUCUGAGCAAUUUGAUUUAAUAAACCAUUUCCGAACUUUAGAAAAUCCUGCAAUAAUAAUUUUGGAUUUAUUUUUAUGAUAUUGUGCAUUUGCAAAGCAUUCCUUUGUUUUGUGACAUUAUUGAUGUACUUGUCUAGAUAAGAUUUGGCCAAGUAAAUCACUAUAUUGCUAUGUAAAGCAUCUCAGAUUAAAAAAAGGAAAACAAACGGAAGAAAAAAGGGCAUUACUCAGUUCUGAUCAUGGCAUGAUCCUAGGGAGGGAAGACCCAAAAUGCAUAUUCAAUAAUUCAGUUUACUAGGGAUCUUAUAUUGCAUAGCUCCAUACAUGCAAUUUCUGUAGGUGUUACCGUGUUAUUUAAAUCUGGAGAUAAAUUGCACCCUUGCACUUAUCUUUUGUAUGAUUUUAAUAUUGGUGGAGCUAUAGUUGUACCUUUAAGCACAAAGUUUACAAAUUGGUGAGGCAGAGUAGUUGGUGUUUUAUAUUCAAUGCUUUAAAAAAAUGUAUUAAUUAUAUAGUGCUAGGAAUACCUGCAAAUUGUGGUUUUGACUGCUACAUUAUAGUCUGCAAAUUGUACUUGUAUUAUAAUAAUUAUUAUUAUUUUGCUUUUUAAUUAUUUAGUUUUACAAAGUUUUGCCAAACGAAAGAAUUAAGGAACAGUGGGAAGCAUGGUUGGCAGUCUAGUUGACUUCCGUAUCUGGUGAAUGGUUUUUUUUGGUGUAGAAAGUCGAAGUCAGCAACCAGUUUUCUAGAUUAAUUAUUUUUUUCGGUAAAUAUUUUUCUAAAUUAAUUAUUGCUGGAGUCAUUUGUUUAAUUAUAAUUUUAUAAUCGUACUAGCCACAGCCACAUGUAGCUAAUAUUGUAGUUUGAGUAAGUGGUAAACAUCAUAUUUUUAUGGUGUUUUCUUGCUAGCUAAAAGAUAUUAAGUGAGAGCAGAUCACCAGUAGCAACUUUUUGUUUUCUUUUUAGGAGCAUGCAUUUCAGAUACAUGGAACACCUUUGUCCCUAAACAUUAUACUUACUGAGCAGACUCUUGUUAGCAAUCAAGUUCGUUGAAUGGACCCAUUUGAGAACAAUUGGAUGAUGACAAAAUUCAUGAAGGUUCUCCUGGCUUGAGGAUCUUGCAGUCUGUCCAUUGCAGUGGUUCAGGACUCGGGCUAGUUGGCCUAUUUUUGAUAGUCAAAAGGCCUGUUCAAUCUAUCUGAUGUAGGAAGGAGUUCAUCUCUUCGUACAUAGAUUUUCUUCUUAUUGCUUUCUUUAAUUUUCUUAUUAAGAGAAAAAUGGUAGGAUCGGAAGAGCAGAUAUAGUAAAUAAAGGGCUCGGACAUAGGUCAUAUCCACUUAAUUUUUAAUGCUUUUAGAUGCUCUGUUUCAAUAUAAUAAAUUUCCAUAAAUAUACGGACAUCCUGUGGAGUUUCAUGAGUGUUACUUCUCAUUAUCCAUAGCUGGUCUAAACUAAACCAGCUCUUGCAAAACGAGCGCCUUUACACAAUUUUAGCUAGGGUUUCCUCUAGCUGCUGCCACCACUUUAAUUUAACAUUCAUGCUAUUUUGGAUAAUUUAUUUCCUGGUAAUCUUUCUACCAUGUCUUUGUGGACAAAUAUUCUCAGUUAUGUUGUAUCUUUUGCACCAAGUAACACUUACUUUUUCUUCUUCUUCUUCUUUAUGAUUAUAGAUAUCCGUAAUGCAAUUUCUGGAUAUGGCACUCUCUUGCUCUUACUAUAUCAACUCAGUUAUGUUUAGAAUCAGGGUGUAUGAUCAACUGAUCGUCUUUGACUUCAUCAGUUUCUGUUCUCAACUGAUGUCCAGGCUCAAUUUGCAUACUAUCCAUAGCCAAAACCUUGAUCGAUCGACCAUUUGGUCAAGUUUUACUGUUUUGUAAAAAUCCCUGUUUUGAAAAUAAUUUUAGUAAAAACUCCCAUUUCGAUAUGUAGGAUUAAAACAAUUUUUUGAGCCUUCUAGAGAUCAUCCCUAGGUUAUAAAUUGGUCUCUGAGGUCUCAACUUAACAUAGAUAGGUGGUUGAGUCUUGAGGGAUUUCUAGUGUGUAUCAAAAUUUCAUAUCUACCUUGUCUUCAACAUGUACUCAAAAGUCUCAAACGGCUGAAGACACAUUGAUACAUUAUAACCCAAGUUUUGAGUAGGAAGUUGCAAACACAUAACGAAUGUGCCUAACAUAUAUGAAAAUUGAAAUUAAUUUACAGACGGUUGAGAUUAUGUAAGGCCCUCUAAGAGGCGGAGGUGCAUCCUAAGUUCUUAGAUUAGUCUAAACCACUUGGAAUUGUGACAAUGUGUUCUCACUUCUUGCUAGGCAUGGUCUGGGACCUACCUUGGGAGUGAUGAUACUGUUAUAUGGUCAUUUGGGCUGCUAUGCCGUAUUCAUGUGGUCUGGAACCAUCUAGGUGACUAGACAUUCAAACCCAACAAGAAGUCUGGAGUUUUCAAUGGUUUGAGACUGUGUUGUACACUUUGUUUAGAGUAUAGGAGUAUAUGUUCCAGUACUUGUGGCUUUGAGAGCGAGCCACUUUGAUUUAUUGGAGCCUGGACCCGGGGCUCAUGUAUAAUAAGUGAAAAUUUAGUAAAAGUUAAUCAAGAUGGUUAACUUACAGAUUUAUUAAGUUUAAGGGAAAUUGGCAUAACUUGUUUAGAAACAUAAUAAAGUCAAUCGAGAUAGUUAAGUAAUUAAUUGUUUGUAAUUGAGGAAACAACUUUAUGGAUUUGGAAAUUUAAUAUAAUAAUGAAUGAGAUAAAUCAUUUCAUGAGGCUUGUUCUGGUAAUUAUAGCAUUUAGAUGAGUUUAUAAGAAUUACGAGAUAUUAAUUAGAAUUGGUUAAUUAACUUAAUUGCUUUGUUUAUGCUACGAGCUAAGAAGCACGGAAACGGAUACGACACGACGUGGAUACAGCGACACGGCAAAUCCUAAAAAAUUAGGACACCGACACGGCGGGGACACUGUAAAUAAUAAAUAUUAUAUAUAUAUAUAUAUAUAUAUAUAUAUAUAUAUAUAUGUGUGUAUGAUGUUGUACUUUAAAAAAUUAAGAGUAAUAUUAGUUUUCACAACCUCAUAAUGAAAAAAAAUUGUGUUUUGCUGGGGAAAAAGAAAGAAUGAUAGAAAGAGGGGGAAAAAAAAAAACAAAGAAACGAAGAGGAUUAGGGUUUUGUUAGAAAAAGAAUUAGGCCUUAGAUAAAAAUAAAGGUAAGAAUCCAUAGAAUAGAAAAAAAAUCAUGGGGAA